This 301-nucleotide ribosomal RNA is filed under the name uncultured bacterium. RNAcentral describes it as "partial 16S ribosomal RNA". It matches the Rfam family "Bacterial small subunit ribosomal RNA", at positions 509 to 809 of the family's 1533-position model. The record is from RNAcentral.
CAGUAGCCACGGUAAUACGUAGGUGGCGAGCGUUGUCCGGAAUUAUUGGGCGUAGAGGGAGCGCAGGCGGACAUAUAAGUCCAUCUUAAAAGUGCGGGGCUCAACCCCGUGAGGGGAUGGAAACUGUAUGCCUUGAGUGCAGGAGAGGAAAGCGGAAUUCCCAGUGUAGCGGUGAAAUGCGUAGAUAUUGGGAGGAACACCAGUGGCGAAGGCGGCUUUCUGGACUGUAACUGACGCUGAGGCUCGAAAGCCAGGGGAGCGAACGGGAUUAGAUACCCGUGUAGUCCCUGUCUCUUAUACA